AUUCCAGCUCCAAUAGCGUAUAUUAAAGUUGUUGCAGUUAGAACGCUCGUAGUCGGAUUUCGGGGCGUUCCGACCGGUCUGCCGAUGGGUACGCACUGGUCGGCGCGUCCUUCCUUCCGGAGACCGUGCCUACUCUUAACUGAGCGGGGGCGGGAGACGGAUCGUUUACUUUGAAAAAAUCAGAGUGUUUCAAGCAGGCAGCUCGCUCUUGCAUGGAUUAGCAUGGGAUAAUGAAAUAGGACUUUGGUGCUAUUUUGUUGGUUUCGAACACCGAAGUAAUGAUUAACAGGGACAGUCAGGGGCACUCGUAUUCCGCCGAGAGAGGUGAAAUUCUCAGACCAGCGGAAGACGAACCACUGCGAAAGCAUUUGCCAGGGAUGUUUUCAUCA
This 389-nucleotide ribosomal RNA is filed under the name Chrysochromulina sp. RNAcentral's name for it is "partial small subunit ribosomal RNA". It matches the Rfam family "Eukaryotic small subunit ribosomal RNA", at positions 582 to 975 of the family's 1831-position model. The record is from RNAcentral. Lineage: Eukaryota; Haptophyta; Prymnesiales; Chrysochromulinaceae.